AGUGAACGCUGGCGGUAGGCCUAACACAUGCAAGUCGAACGGCAGCACAGUAAGAGCUUGCUCUUACGGGUGGCGAGUGGCGGACGGGUGAGGAAUACAUCGGAAUCUACUUUUUCGUGGGGGAUAACGUGGGGAAACUUACGCUAAUACCGCAUACGACCUACGGGUGAAAGCAGGGGAUCUUCGGACCUUGCGCGAUUGAAUGAGCCGAUGUCGGAUUAGCUAGUUGGCGGGGUAAAGGCCCACCAAGGCGACGAUCCGUAGCUGGUCUGAGAGGAUGAUCAGCCACACUGGAACUGAGACACGGUCCAGACUCCUACGGGAGGCAGCAGUGGGGAAUAUUGGACAAUGGGCGCAAGCCUGAUCCAGCCAUACCGCGUGGGUGAAGGAGGCCUUCGGGUUGUAAAGCCCUUUUGUUGGGAAAGAAAAGCAGCAGGUUAAUACCCCGCUGUUCUGACGGUACCCAAAGAAUAAGCACCGGCUAACUUCGU
Molecule: ribosomal RNA, 491 nt
Filed under: uncultured bacterium
Lineage: Bacteria
Description: partial 16S ribosomal RNA
Rfam family: Bacterial small subunit ribosomal RNA
Source: RNAcentral